UGGGGAAUAUUGCACAAUGGGCGCAAGCCUGAUGCAGCCAUGCCGCGUGUGUGAAGAAGGCCUUCGGGUUGUAAAGCACUUUCAGCGGGGAGGAAGGCGUUAAGGUUAAUAACCUUGGCGAUCGACGUUACCCGCAGAAGAAGCACCGGCUAACUCCGUGCCAGCAGCCGCGGUAAUACGGAGGGUGCAAGCGUUAAUCGGAAUUACUGGGCGUAAAGCGCACGCAGGCGGUUGAUUGAGUCAGAUGUGAAAUCCCCGGGCUUAACCCGGGAAUUGCAUCUGAUACUGGUCAGCUAGAGUCGUGUAGAGGGGGGUAGAAUUCCAUGUGUAGCGGUGAAAUGCGUAGAGAUGUGGAGGAAUACCGGUGGCGAAGGCGGCCCCCUGGACAAAGACUGACGCUCAGGUGCGAAAGCGUGGGGAGCAAACAGG
This 429-nucleotide ribosomal RNA is filed under the name Chloroflexota bacterium. RNAcentral's name for it is "Chloroflexi bacterium partial 16S ribosomal RNA". It matches the Rfam family "Bacterial small subunit ribosomal RNA", at positions 355 to 776 of the family's 1533-position model. The record is from RNAcentral. Lineage: Bacteria; Bacillati; Chloroflexota.